This is a non-coding RNA of Alphaproteobacteria bacterium BRH_c36, 520 nucleotides long. The record is from Rfam. NCBI's taxonomy places the organism in Bacteria, Pseudomonadati, Pseudomonadota, Alphaproteobacteria.
CCAGUCGGCUGGACGGCCGCUGCCGGUGGGCGGGCUUUAUGGUCAGACCCCAUCGGUGGAGGAAAGUCCGGGCUCCAUGGAAACACGGUGGCGGCUAACGGCCGCCGGGGGCGACCCCAGGGAAAGUGCCACAGAAAGCAGACCGCCAGGCCCGUCUUCUGACCGGCAAGGUAAGGGUGAAAGGGUGCGGUAAGAGCGCACCGCGCGCUUGGUGACAAGCGUGGCAAGGUAAACCCCACCGGGAGCAAGACCGAAUAGGGGUGGCCGGAUGCGUUGAUCGAUAGGCUCCACUCGGACUUCAGAAGUGUGGACCAACCGGCUCCACACGACUUUAGGAAGUAUGGACCACGAACAACGGCAUCAUGCCUGUUUCCAGGCGAGCCACCCGGGUUGGUUGCUAGAGGCGUUCAGCAAUGGGCGUCCCAGAUGAAUGGCCGUCGCGGAGGAUUUGGCCGGCACCCGGCGAGCCGGUGUUGGGCUAUCUUCCAGACAGAACCCGGCUUACAGGCCGGCUGGUGUA